This 466-nucleotide ribosomal RNA is filed under the name uncultured bacterium. Its description in RNAcentral is "partial 16S ribosomal RNA". It matches the Rfam family "Bacterial small subunit ribosomal RNA", at positions 28 to 507 of the family's 1533-position model. The record is from RNAcentral.
GAUGAACGCUGGCGGCGUGCUUAACACAUGCAAGUCGAACGAUGAAGCCCAGCUUGCUGGGUGGAUUAGUGGCGAACGGGUGAGUAACACGUGAGUAACCUGCCCUUAACUCUGGGAUAAGCCUGGGAAACUGGGUCUAAUACCGGAUAGGAGCGUCCACCGCAUGGUGGGUGUUGGAAAGAUUUAUCGGUUUUGGAUGGACUCGCGGCCUAUCAGCUUGUUGGUGAGGUAAUGGCUCACCAAGGCGACGACGGGUAGCCGGCCUGAGAGGGUGACCGGCCACACUGGGACUGAGACACGGCCCAGACUCCUACGGGAGGCAGCAGUGGGGAAUAUUGCACAAUGGGCGAAAGCCUGAUGCAGCGACACCGCGUGAGGGAUGACGGCCUUCGGGUUGUAAACCUCUUUCAGUAGGGAAGAAGCGAAAGUGACGGUACCUGCAGAAGAAGCACCGGCUAACUACGUG